GAAGCAACGCGAAGAACCUUACCAGGUCUUGACAUCCCGCUGACCGCUAUGGAGACAUAGCUUUCCCUUCGGGGACAGCGGUGACAGGUGGUGCAUGGUUGUCGUCAGCUCGUGUCGUGAGAUGUUGGGUUAAGUCCCGCAACGAGCGCAACCCUUGUUCUUAGUUGCCAUCAUUUAGUUGGGCACUCUAAGGAGACUGCCGGUGACAAACCGGAGGAAGGUGGGGAUGACGUCAAAUCAUCAUGCCCCUUAUGACCUGGGCUACACACGUGCUACAAUGGACGGUACAAACGGUUGCCAACCCGCGAGGGGGAGCUAAUCCGAUAAAACCGUUCUCAGUUCGGAUUGUAGGCUGCAACUCGCCUACAUGAAGCCGGAAUCGCUAGUAAUCGCGGAUCAGCAUGCCGCGGUGAAUACGUUCCCGGGCCUUGUACACACCGCCCGUCACACCACGAGAGUUUGUAACACCCGAAGUCGGUGAGGUAACCUUUUGGAGCCAGCCGCCGAAGGUGGGA
Molecule: ribosomal RNA, 515 nt
Filed under: uncultured bacterium
Lineage: Bacteria
Description: bacterial SSU rRNA
Rfam family: Bacterial small subunit ribosomal RNA
Source: RNAcentral